Molecule: ribosomal RNA, 515 nt
Filed under: uncultured Oxalobacteraceae bacterium
Lineage: Bacteria; Pseudomonadati; Pseudomonadota; Betaproteobacteria; Burkholderiales; Oxalobacteraceae
Description: bacterial SSU rRNA
Rfam family: Bacterial small subunit ribosomal RNA
Source: RNAcentral
UACACACACUAGAGUUUGAUCAUGGCUCAGAUUGAACGCUGGCGGCAUGCUUUACACAUGCAAGUCGAACGGCAGCGCGGGGCAACCUGGCGGCGAGUGGCGAACGGGUGAGUAAAAUAUCGGAACGUACCCAGAAGUGGGGGAUAACGUAGCGAAAGUUACGCUAAUACCGCAUACGAUCUACGGAUGAAAGUGGGGGACCUUCGGGCCUCAUGCUUUUGGAGCGGCCGAUAUCUGAUUAGCUAGUUGGUGAGGUAAAGGCUCACCGAGGCGACGAUCAGUAGCUGGUCUGAGAGGACGACCAGCCACACUGGGACUGAGACACGGCCCAGACUCCUACGGGAGGCAGCAGUGGGGAAUUUUGGACAAUGGGCGCAAGCCUGAUCCAGCAAUGCCGCGUGAGUGAAGAAGGCCUUCGGGUUGUAAAGCUCUUUUGUCAGGGAAGAAACGGCCGGGGCUAAUACCUUUGGCUAAUGACGGUACCUGAAGAAUAAGCACCGGCUAACUACGUGCCA